CCUACGGGAGGCUGCAGUGGGGAAUAUUGCACAAUGGGCGCAAGCCUGAUGCAGCCAUGCCGCGUGUGUGAAGAAGGCCGUCGGGUUGUAAAGCACUUUCAGCGGGGAGGAAGGCGUUAAGGUUAAUAACCUUGUCGAUUGACGUUACCCGCAGAAGAAGCACCGGCUAACUCCGUGCCAGCAGCCGCGGUAAUACGGAGGGUGCAAGCGUUAAUCGGAAUUACUGGGCGUAAAGCGCACGCAGGCGGUCUGUCAAGUCGGAUGUGAAAUCCCCGGGCUCAACCUGGGAACUGCAUUCGAAACUGGCAGGCUAGAGUCUUGUAGAGGGGGGUAGAAUUCCAGAUGUAGCGGUGAAAUGCGUAGAGAUCUGGAGGAAUACCGGUGGCGAGGGCGGCCCCCUGGACAAAGACUGACGCUCAGGUGCGAAAGCGGGGGAGCAAACAGGAUUAGAUACCCCAGUAGUC
Molecule: ribosomal RNA, 464 nt
Filed under: uncultured Klebsiella sp.
Lineage: Bacteria; Pseudomonadati; Pseudomonadota; Gammaproteobacteria; Enterobacterales; Enterobacteriaceae
Description: bacterial SSU rRNA
Rfam family: Bacterial small subunit ribosomal RNA
Source: RNAcentral